GACGAACGCUGGCGGCGUGCUUAACACAUGCAAGUCGAACGGAAAGGCCUCUUUCGGGGGGUACUCGAGUGGCGAACGGGUGAGUAACACGUGAGUAACCUGCCCUUGACUUUGGGAUAACUUCAGGAAACUGGGGCUAAUACCGGAUAGGAGCUCCUGCUGCAUGGUGGGGGUUGGAAAGUUUCGGCGGUUGGGGAUGGACUCGCGGCUUAUCAGCUUGUUGGUGGGGUAGUGGCUUUCCAAGGCUUUGACGGGUAGCCGGCCUGAGAGGGUGACCGGCCACAUUGGGACUGAGAUACGGCUCAGACUCCUACGGGAGGCAGCAGUGGGGAAUAUUGCACAAUGGGUGGAAGCCUGAUGCAGCAACGCCGUGUGCGGGAUGACGGCCUUCGGGUUGUAAACCGCUUUCGCUCAUGACGAAGCUUUGUGUGACGGUAGUGGGUAAAGAAGCACCGGCUAACUACGUG
This 467-nucleotide ribosomal RNA is filed under the name uncultured bacterium. RNAcentral describes it as "partial 16S ribosomal RNA". It matches the Rfam family "Bacterial small subunit ribosomal RNA", at positions 28 to 507 of the family's 1533-position model. The record is from RNAcentral.